GAUGAACGCUGGCGGCGUGCCUAAUACAUGCAAGUCGAGCGAACAGACCAGGAGCUUUCUCCUCUUACGUUAGCGGCGGACGGGUGAGUCACACGUGGAUAACCUACCUAUAAGACUGGGAUAACUUCGGGAAACCGGAGCUAAUACCGGAUAAUAUCUUGCACCGCAUGGUUCAAUAGUGAAAGACGGUUUUGCUGUCACUUAUAGAUGGAUCCGCUCCGCAUUAGCUAGUUGGUAAGGUAACGGCUUACCAAGGCAACGAUGCGUAGCCGACCUGAGAGGGUGAUCGGCCACACUGGAACUGGGACACGGUCCAGACUCCUACGGGAGGCAGCAGAGGGGAAUCUUCCGCAAAGGGCGAAAGCCUGACGGAACAACGCCGCGUGAGUGAUGAAGGGCUUCGGAUCGUGAAGCUCUGUUAUUAGGGAAGAACAAAUGUGUAAGUUACUAUGCACGUCUUGACGGUACCUAAUCAGAAAGCCACGGCUAACUACGUG
Molecule: ribosomal RNA, 497 nt
Filed under: uncultured bacterium
Lineage: Bacteria
Description: partial 16S ribosomal RNA
Rfam family: Bacterial small subunit ribosomal RNA
Source: RNAcentral